CUUUCCCUCUGGCGGCAGGCCUAACACAUGCAAGUCGAACGGUAACAGGAAGCAGCUUGCUGCUUUGCUGACGAGUGGCGGACGGGUGAGUAAUGUCUGGGAAACUGCCCGAUGGAGGGGGAUAACUACUGGAAACGGUAGCUAAUACCGCAUAACGUCGCAAGACCAAAGAGGGGGACCUUAGGGCCUCUUGCCAUCGGAUGUGCCCAGAUGGGAUUAGCUAGUAGGUGGGGUAACGGCUCACCUAGGCGACGAUCCCUAGCUGGUCUGAGAGGAUGACCAGCCACACUGGAACUGAGACACGGUCCAGACUCCUACGGGAGGCAGCAGUGGGGAAUAUUGCACAAUGGGCGCAAGCCUGAUGCAGCCAUGCCGCGUGUAUGAAGAAGGCCUUCGGGUUGUAAAGUACUUUCAGCGGGGAGGAAGGGAGUAAAGUUAAUACCUUUGCUCAUUGACGUUACCCGCAGAAGAAGCACCGGCUAAGUCCGUG
This 490-nucleotide ribosomal RNA is filed under the name uncultured bacterium. Its description in RNAcentral is "partial 16S ribosomal RNA". It matches the Rfam family "Bacterial small subunit ribosomal RNA", at positions 36 to 507 of the family's 1533-position model. The record is from RNAcentral.